Molecule: long non-coding RNA, 389 nt
Filed under: Rattus norvegicus (Norway rat)
Lineage: Eukaryota; Metazoa; Chordata; Mammalia; Rodentia; Muridae
Description: long non-coding RNA NONRATT002955
Source: RNAcentral
AGGAAUCUCAAGAUAAAACAUUUAUCUAGUUUUUAUUGUGGUAGAGACAUUUACCAUGUCAUUAAUAUUAAGCUUAACUGAGAAUUUCCUCCUCCAAAACCUCCUAACCGCAUUCUCAGAUACUUGGAAUGCAGACAUUUUUAGAAGUUUUUAGUGAUUAUGUUGUUCUCCUUCUUGGAGGUCACACGUUCCUUUAAGAAUUUAUCAAAAAGGGGCUGGAGAGAAGGAUCAGCAGCUAAGAGCGCUGGCUGCUCUUCCAGAGGACUGGAGUUCAAUUCUGAGUACCCACACAGCAGCUCACAGCUGACUGUAACCUCAGUUCUAGGGGACUGGCACCCUCACACAGACAUACAUUCAAGCAAAAUACAAAUGCACACACAAAAAAAAAU